This is a long non-coding RNA of Mercenaria mercenaria, 1656 nucleotides long. RefSeq lists it as uncharacterized. The record is from RefSeq and is a predicted model, not a curated record. The transcript is spliced from 4 exons. Lineage: Eukaryota; Metazoa; Mollusca; Bivalvia; Venerida; Veneridae.
CUUGUUGCAUAUUUGAAUGGAAUUGGUUAUUGAAGUAGUGUUAUAGAAUAUGGCCACAAAAGCUGAAAAAAAGACAAUGUAUAAAAAAUAUUAAUACCAAAUAUGUUAGUGUGAAAAUGUGUUUUAUUUAUGCAAUGGAUACUUAGUUUAGUUUAUUAUUGUGUAAAAUUAAAGUGUGUUUCAGGAAAGUAUAAUUUGUAAGUUUACACAAGUUUUAUCAAACAUAUGGAUACAGUUAUACAGUAUCAUACAUGAUAUAAGAUAGAAUAAAUAUUAAACCUGGAAAGACAUUUGUAGCAAUAUGUAAGGGAAAGCUAUUGGGUAUUUAAACAUUGAAUGUAACAACAUGACAGGUCUCUUACAUUAUACUGUUUCUAGAGAAAGAAGACAAAAGAUGUUCAAUGUGACAGCUGGAAAUGUAAGUAGCAGGCUACAAGACUGAUUUCCAAACCAAAUGAUAGGCACUGAUAUGUAUUGUUGUUUAUAAAAUGUUUCAUUGAUAUGUUUACCUGUUACACACAGGUAAAUGUCAACUUCUGGGCACAAAUUACAGGUGGAGGAUGAUUGAUUUAGACUUUAGCCUAAGAGGAUUUUAACUAAUGUAUUCCAUGUAACUUUUACCAUGAUUUUAGAUGCCUAAGUUCCAAAACAUUAACACUCUUAUUUGCAGAAACGCCCAUGGAUGAAGAAUCAGACUGCCUAAUGGAGGACGAAUGAUGAAAAUUGUCACAUGCUGCAAGAAAAAUGCCGAGCUUGAAACAUAGAAUCCCACAAACCACCAGCACCAACUCAGACAGAUGGUAUUUCAACAUACAGUAAAUUCACUGUCGUAGAGCGGAUAUAGCUGGUCAAAUCAUACAAGAAUGUUGAGUUGAUGGACAAUGAAGAGCAGUUACAUGACAUGAAAGUACAGCUGACCACAGUGCAGGGUAACCACAAGGAAUCUAUUGAACAGCUUGGGGACAAGUCCCAGCAAGUGGCCAUGCUGAGGACUGAGGACUCUCGAACACAGCAACAGAACCAGGCAAUGUCUGAAGAUGUUGAUUGUGAAUGAAGUUCUACAAUUUAUAUUAAUCACUCUCGACACCUCAUUCCUGAUGGAAUCCAUCGCCACGAACAUAUGAGAGAAGAGGCCAGUUUCUGCCCUUUUAAUGCUGAGCGCCAAGCAAGGGAGCCACUGGUACCAUUUUGUAUGUCUUUGGUAUAACACAGCCAGGGAUUGAACCCACGACCUCCCGCACUCAGAGCGGAUGCUCUACCACUAGGCUAUCGAGGCGGUUGUUGUUUAUUGUUACAGUUGAGCAGUACAUCAGCUGAAGCAAGAAUUAAAGAAGAUGCAAGAGCAAGAUGAAGUACAGUGACCUGAAACAGGAAGCGAUCACAUCCCAGGAAAGGAACCAAGCCCGCCCACUUAGCUCAGUAGGGAUCGCGAGUUCGAUUCUCAAGCGGGGAGUAUACUGGUACAGAAUCCAGGAACGCUGGUUAGGUUAACUGCCUGCCGUUACAUAACUGAAAUACUGUUGAAAAACAACGUUAAAUCCAAAACAAACAGGGCAGGAACCACCAAGGUCUUCAGGAGCUCUCUGCAAAGGAGGAAGAAUUAGUUGUUGUUAAAGUGGAACUCAGUGCCUUACAAGAAAAAUACAAAACAAGUGU